Molecule: non-coding RNA, 496 nt
Organism: Paramuricea clavata
Lineage: Eukaryota; Metazoa; Cnidaria; Anthozoa; Malacalcyonacea; Plexauridae
Source: the annotation of a GenBank genome assembly
AGAUGCACUGUGGUAGACAUUGCAGGGAAGGUGAGGGAAGCAAGGUUGAGAUGGCAUGGACAUCUAUUAAGAAGAGACUGAUGAAUGAUAUUCAGUCAGAGAUGUAAUGAAAUAUAGAUAUCAGAAGAAGAUGCACUGUGGUAGACAUUUCAGAGAAGGUGAGGGAAGCAAUGUUGAGAUGCUAUGGACAUCUAUUAAGAAGAGACUGAUGAAGGAUAUUCAGUCAGAGAUGUAAUGAAAUAAAGAUAUCAGAAGAAGAUGCACUGUGGUAGACAUUGCAGGGAAGGUGAGGGAAGCAAUGUUGAGAUGGCAUGGACAUCUAUUAAGAAGAGACUGAUGAAGGAUAUUCAGUCAGAGAUGUAAUGAAAUAAAGAUAUCAGAAGAAUAUGCACUGUGGUAAACAUUGCAUAAAAGGUGAGGGAAGCAAGGCUGAGAUGGCAUGGGCACAUAAUAAUAAGAAAUUUAAGGAGAGCCAAUUGGAGAAAUUUAAGGAGAG